Molecule: transfer RNA, 74 nt
Filed under: Candidatus Blackburnbacteria bacterium RIFCSPHIGHO2_01_FULL_44_64
Lineage: Bacteria; Candidatus Blackburniibacteriota
Also listed under: 4 other names
Description: tRNA-Arg
Rfam family: tRNA
About the family: Transfer RNA (tRNA) molecules are approximately 80 nucleotides in length. Their secondary structure includes four short double-helical elements and three loops (D, anti-codon, and T loops). Further hydrogen bonds mediate the characteristic L-shaped molecular structure. tRNAs have two regions of fundamental functional importance: the anti-codon, which is responsible for specific mRNA codon recognition, and the 3' end, to which the tRNAs corresponding amino acid is attached (by aminoacyl-tRNA synthetases). tRNAs cope with the degeneracy of the genetic code in two manners: having more than one tRNA (with a specific anti-codon) for a particular amino acid; and 'wobble' base-pairing, i.e. permitting non-standard base-pairing at the 3rd anti-codon position.
Source: RNAcentral
GCACCCAUAGCUCAGCUGGAUAGAGCGUGGGAUUCCGGAUCCCAAGGCCGGAGGUUCGAAUCCUCCUGGGUGCG